RNAcentral lists this ribosomal RNA (60 nucleotides) under Diaporthe actinidiae. RNAcentral's name for it is "partial 28S ribosomal RNA". The record is from RNAcentral. Lineage: Eukaryota; Fungi; Ascomycota; Sordariomycetes; Diaporthales; Diaporthaceae.
UUUGACCUCGGAUCAGGUAGGAAUACCCGCUGAACUUAAGCAUAUCAAUAAGCGGGAGGA